CUACGGAGGCAGCAGUGGGGAAUAUUGGACAAUGGGCGAAAGCCUGAUCCAGCCAUGCCGCGUGUGUGAAGAAGGCCUUCGGGUUGUAAAGCACUUUCAGUGGGGAAGAAAGCCUUGGGGCUAAUACCCUCGAGGAAGGACAUCACCCACAGAAGAAGCACCGGCUAACUCCGUGCCAGCAGCCGCGGUAAUACGGAGGGUGCGAGCGUUAAUCGGAAUUACUGGGCGUAAAGCGCGCGUAGGCGGUCUGAUAAGCCGGUUGUGAAAGCCCCGGGCUCAACCUGGGAACGGCAUCCGGAACUGUCAGGCUAGAGUGCAGGAGAGGAAGGUAGAAUUCCCGGUGUAGCGGUGAAAUGCGUAGAGAUCGGGAGGAAUACCAGUGGCGAAGGCGGCCUUCUGGACUGACACUGACGCUGAGGUGCGAAAGCGUGGGUAGCAAACAGGAUUAGAUACCCCAGUCGUC
This 463-nucleotide ribosomal RNA is filed under the name Vreelandella stevensii. Its description in RNAcentral is "partial 16S ribosomal RNA". It matches the Rfam family "Bacterial small subunit ribosomal RNA", at positions 339 to 795 of the family's 1533-position model. Lineage: Bacteria; Pseudomonadati; Pseudomonadota; Gammaproteobacteria; Oceanospirillales; Halomonadaceae. The record is from RNAcentral.